AAAUUCAAAAUGCCUUUUUUUAGAGAGAGUUUUUUUUUUUGGAUUUAUUUAUUCUCAAAAAUAAUGCAACAAAAUAAAGAUCUGCUUAUAAAUGCAGCAGCGUCAGCGGUAGUAAAAUAGACUUAUAACACAAAUCAGUCUUGUUGGAUCCUUCUUGUGGAUCCCACACAGACGCACUGGAUGACACAUUUGGAAUAACCUAUCCUGGCUCCAUGACGUCAGCGCGUAAACAUCUACGUUCAUUCCAAGGUGCUAUAGUUUUUGUUGCUCGCAGCGUUGGCUCUCCUCUCUGUGUAUGUAUACAGUCUGUAGUUCUGUGUUUUACUGACUUAAAAUUCAGUAGCUUUUACUCUGUUUGUGGUUGGACAUUUUGGCACAUACAUGCAUGUCCACCGUGCGCUCCGUUACGCACAGAGAGGAAGGAGGCGACGUCAAAGCGACGUAAAAAAGCAACGUGACCUGCAGGAGCUCCGUGGAAAGCAUCUACUUCUCCUGUCGCUGCUGAAGCUGCUGAGGCUGCGGCAACAGCAUCACACACUCCUCUGCUGCAUGCUGCUGCUUUCACCGUCUCCAUCUCCAACAAAUCGUUUCUCUUUUACGCAUUUUUUUCAAGGACAUUACAAUAUUGAAAUCGUUGCUGCUGCAGCUCGUUCUGCAUGGCUCUGUCUUCCUGCAAGCUGUUGACUCAGGUGCUUCAAGGUGUGCAGGGUUUGGAGAUCACAGCUCAGUCGAGGUUUCUUUCACUGCCCAAAAACUGACUCUUUGCCAGUCCGGUGCCAUGCAGGACCUCACUGUGCAGCUGCAGCUGUGAGGGUGGAGGAUGCUGAGGAUGAGGAGUGGAGGUAUCUUCAAUGGCACAUUUGUGAUAACACCCUCUGCAAAGCUGCUAUGCUUUUAACAGCACGUGGCGUCGAGCUAAACCUUUUUUCUUUCCUUCACCUGAGGAAAAUGCAAAAAUGUUGGGUGCUGCUGCUGUAUCUGUCUCCUAAAGGUGCUCCUCACUGGUGCCUUCCUCCACCUCCACCCCUUCAUGCGCCGACGUGCAGCCACAUCAGAAAGGCUGCAGCCAGUUGGAGCUGCACGUCGCUCACCACGUCUAUCAAAUGGUGCCAAAAACGAUGCAACUAAAAGAGGGAGACGCGUCAUUCAAAGCUUCAAAGCAGAACAAUGGACACCAGUUCACAAUGGUCAAUGCAUAUGCUGGUGCGAAAUGUGUGUUUGGGUUUCUGUGCACGUCGUCCACAGCAGCCGGUGUGAGAGAGAGAGAGGUAGAGAGAGAGAGAGAGAGAGAGAGAGCGAGAGAGGAGGGGACAAGCGACGCAGCAGCUCCACAGCACACUGUCGUCCGAGGCUGCAGGAGGAGGAGAUGCUGCUGGGAUGCAGGAGAGGAUGCUGGCCUCGGCUCGUCUCUGAUUUACUGAUGCAAAAAAUAAUGCCAGUGUUUUAAAUAAAACACUUGGAUCAAGUCAUUGUGCAGGUUUCCUCUCAGUCAGUCAGUGAAGGCGUGCAACGUUGGGACUCCUAUAGUUUGGUUACACUUGAGAGAGAUGAUGGUGGUGGUGUAGAAACUUGAAAAAAAUACUGAAUGGACUUGAACCGGAGGUGCUGGAUUUUAUUCCAAGUUUGUGACUUGAAUCUUUGGAGUGCAGGCAGAAGUGCAGUCACACAGAAAUACACCCCCCAUCUGCAGGCCUGCUUCUGAACCUGCAGGACAACAGGUCAGAGGAGACACACACCACCUCCUGCUCUGAGGGUCAGAGGUCACAGAGUGGGUCAGAACAAGACUUCAUCACUCCAGAGUUACAGCAGGAAGAAGAAGAGGAGGAGGAGGAGGAGGCAGUGGAGGAGGAAAAAGAGAAGCAGAGUGGGUGGAAGGAUGGAAGCAGAGAAGGAUAGAAGCAGUUCGAGGAGGUGGUUGGAAGCGGGUGAACCCAGAGCAGGUGAACACAGCUGUGGAUCGCCAUGGGCUCUCUGGCUGCCCUCCUCCUGUGGCCCCGGCGCUGCAUACAGGGGUCCCGGGGAGCCGGCAGGGGCCAGCCAAAGCUGCGGCAGAGUGGGCAGGCUAGGCCAGCCAAGCCAGGAGAGAGGCAGGUGAGGCGGGUGAGCCGAGCUCUCAUCCCCGCCGGCUAGGAGCCUCCGCGGCAGAGCGGAGCAGCGCGGAGCAGCAGAAAUCAAUACAGAGGAGAGAGGCUAGCAGAGGUUGCCCAGCACCGCCUGCAGGCCUCGGAGCCCAGGGACCAACCACCACCACUGCUCCCAGCUCCUCUCUCCAUCUCUCUUUCUAUCUUCCUCCAACAGUCCCAGCACCAGCCAGGGCCAGGGCCCUCACCGCCCCACACGCAGUGUGUGUGUCAGUAGGUGCACAUGUGUGUGUAAAAUAGAGAGAAAAAGGGAGAGGGAAGAGACAGAGAGAGGGAGUCUUUGUGUGUGGUUCCGCCGGAGGGGUUUUUGCUGCGUCCAACACCACUUGAUAAAAACUUUGUCAGAGAGACACGGAGACAGCGAGGGAGGGGGAGAAACGGAAGAAGAAUAAGACAGGACGUCGAAGGUCGCUUUUCUUCCAGCUCCCUCCCUCUUAUUACGCAUUCCACCUCAACUGUUUGAUAAGGAGCCAUCGGAGACGGUACGCAGGACGUUUUCUGCUCAGUCCCACUUCCAAGCACGUAGCGCACAAUAUUCCUAAGAUCUCAUGAGCCGGGAUGAAAGGACAAUUUGAACUUUUUCUCUCAUCCACUGUAUCAGACACAACCUGUCUUUUCGCCUUAGAUUUUCUUACCCUCACUACAGCAGCUCCCAUCAGAGGAUAUGGCAGUGCAGUAUUGAUCUAUAAGGUGGAAGAGAGGAAGGCGGGCCCGGGCUUUCAUACCUCUCUCUCUCUCUCUCUCUCUCUAUGUGUGUGGAAAUAGCACCUGAAGUCCACUUACUGCUGUGCAGCAGGGAUCCCAUGGCAGCACAAGUGAAUGGCUGCUAAUUGAAUGAGAGAUGAAAAGGACAGUAGUUGUACCUGCUCAGUGAACCCCCCCCACCACCCUCCUUCCUGUCUCAUACUACUUGGUUUUUCAUCUGACUUUUUUCUCCUCCACGUUUACAAAAGACCUUCUCCACACAAAGAGACUCGCUGUUCAGAUGUUUUAGCAAAAUUGGUGGUGACUAAAGAAAAUUGGCAAAAUCUUCAGGAAUGAAAAUACCUGUCUUCAGAGUAGAGGUGAAAGCCUUCAGUAGAAAAUACUUUUUUUUCAUGCGGUGAAAGUUUUGAGAGGUCAUGCCACAGAACAUCCUGUACUGUACAUAUUUGUGGACAUGGAAGGACAUGAGAGGACAGCUUCCCAAGCAUGAAAACUUGCAGAGAUUACGACGGGAUUCAGACCUUUUGAUGCAGCCAGUCAGGAAUGAGAUGCAAAGCAGUGAUUUACCGUCGGACCUUACUCUAACAAAGCACACUAUUUGUCGUCAAUUUCUGUGAACAUGUGUAGCCUCGGCCACAUAUGGAAAACGCCACCUCUACACCUGCAAGAACAGUCAGUUAGACACACAUCAUUAGAGUCUGAUUAUCAGUUGUCUGGUGUGCAGUCUUUGUGGAUGCGGACAGGUAAGUCGGAACCGCUUCUAAAAGGUAAGUGUAAAAGGUUGGAUCAAUUUAAGAGCUGUCUGAAGUGUAAAAUGGAGCUGCCGAGCAAUAUUUUCCUGAAUUAGUUUCAUUAGAUGUGAAUUACUAUAUUUGAGACCAAUUUUAGGUCGGAGAUUGGAUGAGACCCCAAGGGGUCCUUCUUUUCACUCAGUAAUUUACAUUCAAGUAUUUGACUGGAAAAUCGUUUGACAAGAGUUUGUCGCUGUUGAAUUACUUUCCUCUUUUCUGUGGGACAUUAUGUACACAUACAUAUUUAUACAAUCUCUUUCACAGUGUAAUGAACUCAUUUAUCAUAAAAUGAUUGCAGAAUCCCCAACGCGAUGCCCUGAUAUGAUAUAUAUAUUUUCAAUAAAGUUGAACAAUUUGUGAAAUGAAAA
Sebastes umbrosus (honeycomb rockfish) is the source of this 4005-nucleotide long non-coding RNA. RefSeq lists it as uncharacterized. The transcript is spliced from 4 exons. The record is from RefSeq and is a predicted model, not a curated record. NCBI's taxonomy places the organism in Eukaryota, Metazoa, Chordata, Actinopteri, Perciformes, Sebastidae.